RNAcentral lists this ribosomal RNA (613 nucleotides) under uncultured marine eukaryote. RNAcentral describes it as "SSU rRNA". It matches the Rfam family "Eukaryotic small subunit ribosomal RNA", at positions 1 to 629 of the family's 1831-position model. The record is from RNAcentral.
AUCUGGUUGAUCCUGCCAGUAGUCAUAUGCUUGUCUCAAAGAUUAAGCCAUGCAUGUCUAAGUAUAAAUGGUAUACAAUGAAACUGCGAAUGGCUCAUUAAAACAGUUAUAGUUUAUUUGGUAAUCGACUUUACAUGGAUAACCGUGGUAAUUCUAGAGCUAAUACAUGCUGUUGUGCCCGACUCACGAAGGGCCGUAUUUAUUAGAUAUCAGCCAAUAAGCAUCCGCUAUUGUGGUGACUCAUAGUAACUUAAUCGGAUCGCAUGGGCUUGUCCCGCGACAGACCAUUCAAGUUUCUGCCCCAUCAUGCUUUCGAUGGUAGUGUAUUGGACUACCAUGGCUUUCACGGGUAACGGAGGAUUAGGGUUCGAUUCCGGAGAGGGAGCCUGAGAAACGGCUACCACUUCCACGGAAGGCAGCAGGCGCGUAAAUUACCCAAUCCUGAUUCAGGGAGGUAGUGACAAGAAAUAAUGGGUCGGGGCAGUGCCCCGGGACUGCAAUGAGACGAAUCUAGACCCCUUAUCGAGGACCAAUUGGAGGGCAAGUCUGGUGCCACCAGCCCGCGGUAAUUCAGCUCCAAUAGCGUAUAUUAAAGUUGUGCAGUUAAAAGCUC